CGCAUUGUGUUACCUCCUGGUACGAAAUGCGCCGUAUAAUUUGAUUAGACACAUUCUAAUGCCAAGUGUGAACUGAUGCACUUAGAGCUGCCCACUUGCGAUCGGAUCAACCAAGAAACAUGGCCAGCGGGUGCCGCAGGUGUGUUUAUCUUUCAUUUCAUAUGACUAUAUACCAUCAAGAUUUAGAAGAUGAUAUCUUGGUUGCUUAUAAAAACAUACCUCAAACAUACCUCACUGCAAGUUGUUGCAUAGUAUUCCUUUAAACUGGUGGGGUUUUGCAAGUAUAACUUUCAAAAAGUGUGUCUUGAGUUAAAUUAAAUUCACAUUAAAUCUUAAUGACACCAGAGAGGGUUUCUUGUCUCUCACACAGUGAGUAAAGUUCCAGCUGUUUUACAUCAUGUGGGGUGCUGUUUAUCAAGACUUGAGACCUCUGUACGUCUCGCAGACUGUAUUAAUGAGAAUGAAAAUGAUAUCAAAUGAUUGUAUCACAGCAAGGAGGAAAUGACAGAAGAAUCUCUGGAAUUGCAGGGGAGGGAGAAGAUUACAAGAACCACCCACUAGUUGUGUUUUUGGGAACAUCACUCUAUACAUGACUACAGUUGUCUGGCACCAAUAUACCCAUACAGUCUCAGAAGUGAAGACUGAAGCAGUUUGGCCGGCACAAUUACAGGAUAUAGCCCAUCUCCUACACCAUCUUGAGGACCACUUCAUCAAAACUACACUCACCUCAUGACACUGAAAGGAAAGAUCUCAAUACUUCAAACUGGAAAAUACUCGCCAAGAACCCUGGCUCUCUGUGGCCAGUCUAUUAAUCAGCAGCAUUUGCGAGACCACCUCUUGUGUAGAGCUUAACUCAGGUUUACGCUAAUAAGCCAUUUUUGAUGAAAAUCCUCGAUGAAAACUUACAUGCGCGCAUACUG
This is a long non-coding RNA of Clupea harengus (Atlantic herring), 920 nucleotides long. RefSeq lists it as uncharacterized. NCBI's taxonomy places the organism in Eukaryota, Metazoa, Chordata, Actinopteri, Clupeiformes, Clupeidae. The record is from RefSeq and is a predicted model, not a curated record.